UGGGGAAUUUUGCAGAAUGGGGGAAACCCUGAUGCAGCGACGCCGCGUGAUUUAGAAGGCCUUCGGGUUGUAAAAAUCUUUUCUAUGGGAAGAAAAUGACAGUACCAUAGGAAUAAGGACCGGCUAAUUACGUGCCAGCAGCCGCGGUAAUACGUAAGGUCCGAGCGUUGUCCGGAAUCAUUGGGCGUAAAGGGUACGUAGGCGGGUAAGCAAGUUAGAAGUGAAAUCCUAUAGCUCAACUAUAGUAAGCUUUUAAAACUGCUCAUCUUGAGGUAUGGAAGGGAAAGUGGAAUUCCUAGUGUAGCGGUGAAAUGCGCAGAUAUUAGGAGGAAUACCGGUGGCGAAGGCGACUUUCUGGCCAUAACCUGACGCUGAGGUACGAAAGCGUGGGUAGCAAACAGG
RNAcentral lists this ribosomal RNA (402 nucleotides) under bacterium. Its description in RNAcentral is "partial 16S ribosomal RNA". It matches the Rfam family "Bacterial small subunit ribosomal RNA", at positions 355 to 776 of the family's 1533-position model. The record is from RNAcentral.